AAAUUGAGCGUGCGGUUUGGGCCGCCUCUGCCACCUCCUCCGCUGCCUCAGGGACUGCCUCUCUCCCCGCCACCGCCACCGCCACCGCCACCGCCACCGCCUCCGCCACCGCCUCCGCCUCCGCCUCCGCCUCUUUGGGGCCCUCCUCCUUCCCCUCCUCCUCCCCCACCUCUACACGACCCAGGCCUUCUGUCCCGGAGAAGAAGCCGUAUUCGGUCUUUCUCGGGGGUCGGUGGCGCAGCCAUGGCGGAUGGCGGCGGCGGCGGCGGCGGGGGAACGGGCGCGGUGGGCGGCGGCGGAGCAGGCCAGGCCUCGGCUGGUUCAGCUACGGGUGCGACCGGGGCGGGCGGGAGCGGUGGCCCCAUCAACCCAGCCUCGUUGCCUCCCGGCGACCCGCAGCUCAUCGCUGUCAUCGUGGAGCAGCUCAAGAGCCGGGGCCUGUUUGACAGCUUCCGCCGGGACUGCCUGGCCGACGUGGACACCAAGCCAGCUUACCAAAACCUGAGGCAGAAAGUGGAUAAUUUUGUGUCAACACAUCUGGACAAGCAGGAAUGGAAUCCUACAAUGAACAAAAACCAAUUGCGAAAUGGUCUGAGGCAGAGUGUGGUACAGUCAGGGAUGUUGGAAGCUGGAGUAGACAGGAUUAUUUCCCAGGUGGUGGAUCCAAAACUAAACCACAUCUUCAGGCCACAGAUAGAACGAGCAAUUCACGAGUUCCUGGCAGCCCAGAAAAAAGAAGCUGUGCCAGCGCCCCCUCCAGAGCCUGAGAGUCAAGAUCCUCCAGCUCCAUCCCAGGAUGCUUCCUAAGGUCCAGUAUCCCAUCUUUUGUCCAGGAGCAUUCAUCUCUGGCUUAUAGAUAUAUAAAAUGGAUAGAAAAGGGAACUUACCUGACAUCUUUUGAAAGCUCCAUUUAAUUAAUGGUGAUGAAAUGGAUUCAGUUACAUAUGAGUACAGCUGCAGAAUGAAGAUUAGGUCAAGGCCGUCACUGAUUUCAAGAUUUUAACUUUGACUGUGGGGCAGUGUCCAGAUUGAACAGGGAGCAAGUUUAGCAAUGGGAAAGUUGACGGUGUGUGUCCCCUGCAUUGUACUGCCAUUUUACCACUACAGUCCAAGGAUGUGACUCCCAGUAGACACUACAGAGAUCUAAAGAAACACUACAGCAACCUUGGGUUGUCCUGAAACAAACUUUUAUACUUGAACAUGGAGACUGCACAUGGAUGUUAGGGUGGUACUCUGGAAUAAACAGUAGCUACAAUGAAAGAACAUAACCAGUCCCAAAGAUAAUCCAAAGAAUAAUGACAGUAAAGGUUAACUCACAGUAGCUAUUUGAUAUUGUUUCUCAGAGUUGAAACUAGAAUGUACAGCCAUUAGCAUCAGAUAACUUUAAUGUCAUUGUGACCUUCUUUUUUUUUUUUGUCUUCUUUGUGACCGGCCGCACCGCGCUCAGCCAGUGAGCGCACCAGCCAUCCCUAUAUAGGAUCCGAACCCGUGGCGGGAGCGCUACUGCACUCCCAGCGCCGCACUCUCCCGAGUGUGCCACGGGCUCAGCCCCAUUGUGACCUUCUUGUACAUGAAUCUUCUAACCUAUUUCCUUUCCUCGUAAUAGGUGACAAAACAUGAAACCCUAGAAUGUGUGUGGAAGCUCAGACAUUAGGUAUAAGGAAAAACAUUUGCAGGCUCUCUGUCCAGAGCUUCUUUCUAUCCUGCAAGGGCUAGUGAAUCUCAGGUGUGUUUAUUUUAUUCAUGUUUGUGUUUUUUAGAAAAGUGAAUGGCUUAAGUUUUAUAUUAAAAUCAUUUGAUACUCUUUA
Molecule: RNA transcript, 1808 nt
Organism: Cynocephalus volans (Philippine flying lemur)
Lineage: Eukaryota; Metazoa; Chordata; Mammalia; Dermoptera; Cynocephalidae
Gene: BOD1
Gene name: biorientation of chromosomes in cell division 1
Exons: 4
Source: RefSeq, a predicted model, not a curated record